Molecule: ribosomal RNA, 491 nt
Filed under: uncultured bacterium
Lineage: Bacteria
Description: bacterial SSU rRNA
Rfam family: Bacterial small subunit ribosomal RNA
Source: RNAcentral
GAUGAACGCUAGCGGCAGGCUUAACACAUGCAAGUCGAGGGGUAGAGGAAGCUUGCUUCCUUGAGACCGGCGCACGGGUGCGUAACGCGUAUACAAUCUACCUUUUACAGAGGGAUAGCCCCAGAGAAAUUUGGAUUAAUACCUCAUAGUAUUUUCGAAUCGCAUGGUUUGAUUAUUAAAGUUCCAACGGUAAAAGAUGAGUAUGCGUCCCAUUAGCUAGAUGGUAAGGUAACGGCUUACCAUGGCAAUGAUGGGUAGGGGUCCUGAGAGGGAGAUCCCCCACACUGGUACUGAGACACGGACCAGACUCCUACGGGAGGCAGCAGUGAGGAAUAUUGGACAAUGGGCGCAAGCCUGAUCCAGCCAUGCCGCGUGCAGGAUGACGGUCCUAUGGAUUGUAAACUGCUUUUGUACGAGAAGAAACAACAUUACGUGUAAUGUCUUGACGGUAUCGUAAGAAUAAGGAUCGGCUAACUCCGUGCCAGCAGCCG